RNAcentral lists this long non-coding RNA (1122 nucleotides) under Felis catus (domestic cat). Its description in RNAcentral is "lncRNA (ENSFCAG00000053641.1)". Lineage: Eukaryota; Metazoa; Chordata; Mammalia; Carnivora; Felidae. The record is from RNAcentral.
GCGCGCUCUCCCUGCACCCCGGGGAGGAGCGCCUCGCGUCACCCACUCGCACUCCGAGCCCUCUCCUCGGGAGCUCGGGCGCCGCCUCGCUGCUCUCCUUUCGCUCCCUCACAACCGCCUCCCCACCCCUCCCCUCCCGGGGCCCCGCGCCUCCCCUCCCCCACCCGGCCCCCCGGCCCGGGGUUCUCAAGGACCAGCCUGCGCUCCUGGCGCCCUCAUGUCUUCGCGGGACUCCCCGCGCCGGUUGACGUGGUGUCUCGUUCGGAUUUCCAGGCCAGACCUCAGCUCCGGCGGCAGCAUCAGCCCGGCCCAUCUCGUGCUACCAAGCGCUGCGCCCCGAGAAGGCGCAGAACGCUGCCGCCGCCGCUGAGCCGCCCGCCGCGCCCCGGGCCCGCGCAGCCCCGGCCAAGAGCGCGGCGCGCGCAGCCGUGUCACCCCCCCACCCAAGGCAGCGGCGGCUGCUCGGACCUCGGUUUCUGGGGGUGCAGGGCAUCGGCGGAGGAGCUGUCGGCAUCCCUCGCCCUUCUCGAGGCGGCGGCGGCGGGAGCCUUGGCUGCCGCCUCCAGCGCGCCCUCGCUGCCCCAGGAUUUCGAACUCGUGCCCCUGACCUGUUGGGCGGGGCUCUGCGCUCCUGCCCUUGGCCCGGAUGGGGCUCCUGGCUGGGACUCGGGGCUCCUGGAGUUAAUGUCCAACUGGGGGUCUGCGGAGACCGGAUCCGAGGUGAGUGGGGAAGCGGGCCGGGGGUGCAAGGGGCGGGAGGGCGCGGCGGCCUGCAGGGCGCGGAAGACAGAGGGGGCGCGGCCGGACCCCAGAGCAGGCGGUAACAUUGGAAAGAGGAAAGACUAUAUGGAACCGAGGCGCCGGGAGGAUAGAGGAGAGAGAGAAGUUGAACGGGAGAGGGGCUGGCCUUGCAGAGAUGCCGUUGCCUUUCCACGUGGGCAAAGAGCGCUGGUGCCCGAUGCCUGUGGACCCCUGGAAUGCCCGAGAGGGUCAGUUUCCCUCCCCGACUCGGUGGGGCGCUCUUCUGUCAAGUCCCAGGACGGUGCGGGUUUGGGGUUAUCUUUGAACCCACCGCGACCAGAAAGUGUCCUCUCUGGACGUGCAGCUGCAGAGAUACCAUAG